UACGGAGGGUGCGAGCGUUGUCCGGAAUCAUUGGGCGUAAAGGGCGCGUAGGCGGGCGAUCAAGUCGGUGGUGAAAUCCUACAGCUUAACUGUAGAACUGCCUCCGAUACUGGUUGUCUCGAGGAAGGUAGGGGCGUGCGGAACAGUUGGUGGAGCGGUGAAAUGCGUUGAUAUCAACUGGAACUCCGAUGGCGAAGGCGGCACGCUGGACCUUUUCUGACGCUGAGGCGCGAAAGCCAGGGGAGCAAACGGG
This 253-nucleotide ribosomal RNA is filed under the name uncultured bacterium. RNAcentral describes it as "partial 16S ribosomal RNA". It matches the Rfam family "Bacterial small subunit ribosomal RNA", at positions 524 to 776 of the family's 1533-position model. The record is from RNAcentral.